CCUACGGGCGGCAGCAGUCGAGAAUCAUUCACAAUGGGGGAAACCCUGAUGGUGCGACGCCGCGUGGGGGAAUGAAGGUCUUCGGAUUGUAAACCCCUGUCAUGUGGGAGCAAAUUAAAAAGAUAGUACCACAAGAGGAAGAGACGGCUAACUCUGUGCCAGCAGCCGCGGUAAUACAGAGGUCUCAAGCGUUGUUCGGAAUCACUGGGCGUAAAGCGUGCGUAGGCUGUUUCGUAAGUCAUGUGUGAAAGGCGAGGGCUCAACCCGCGGACGGCACAUGAUACUGCGAGACUAGAGUAAUGGAGGGGGAACCGGAAUUCUCGGUGUAGCAGUGAAAUGCGUAGAUAUCGAGAGGAACACUCGUGGCGAAGGCGGGUUCCUGGACAUUAACUGACGCUGAGGCACGAAGGCCAGGGGAGCGAAAGGGAUUAGAUACCCCUGUAGUC
RNAcentral lists this ribosomal RNA (446 nucleotides) under uncultured bacterium. RNAcentral describes it as "partial 16S ribosomal RNA". It matches the Rfam family "Bacterial small subunit ribosomal RNA", at positions 338 to 795 of the family's 1533-position model. The record is from RNAcentral.